AUUGGAGUCGAUUAGCAUGCGAGUCGCGAGAAUUAGAUUCUCGGCGUACCGCUCAGUAACACGUGGGUAACCUGCCCUAUGCUGGAUAAUAACCUCGGGAAACUGAGAAUAAUGAUCCAUAUUUCACUACGCCUGGAACGGUGAGUGGAUGAAAGCUCCGGCGGCAUAGGAUGGGCCUGCGGCGUAUCAGGUUGUAGGGGGUGUAACGUACCCUCUAGCCCUCUACGCGUACGGGUGUUGGGAGACAUAGCCCGGAGAUGGAUUCUGAGACACGAAUCCAGACCCUACGGGGUGCAGCAGGCGCGAAAACUUGGCAAUGCGAGAAAUCGUGACCAGGGAACUCCAAGUGCAUCGGGUAAGACCGGUGCUUUUCUUGACUCUAAAUAGGUCUUGGAAUAAGGGGUGGGUAAGGACGGUGCCAGCCGCCGCGGUAAUACCGGCGCCUCAAGUGGUAGUCGCUUUUAUUGGGCCUAAAACGUCCGUAGCCGGUCUUAUACAUUCGUGGGUAAAUCAACCAGCUCAACUGGUUGAAUUCUGCGAGGACGGUCAGACUUGGGACCGGGAGAGGUGUGGGGUACGCUCAGGGUAGGGGUAAAAUCCUGUCAUCCUGAGCGGACCACCUGUUGCGAAGGCGCCACACUAGAACGGAUCCGACGGUCAGGGACGAAGCCUAGGGGCACGAACCGGAUUAGAUACCCGGGUAGUCCUAGGUGUAAACGCUGUGGACUUGAUGUUGGGGGUGCUCCUAGCACUCUCAGUGUCGAAGCGAAGGUGAUAAGUCCACUGCCUGGGAAGUACGGUCGCAAGGCUGAAACUCCAAGGAAUUGACGG
RNAcentral lists this ribosomal RNA (831 nucleotides) under uncultured archaeon. RNAcentral's name for it is "bacterial SSU rRNA". It matches the Rfam family "Archaeal small subunit ribosomal RNA", at positions 32 to 871 of the family's 1478-position model. The record is from RNAcentral.